RNAcentral lists this ribosomal RNA (773 nucleotides) under uncultured Neocallimastigales. RNAcentral's name for it is "partial large subunit ribosomal RNA". It matches the Rfam family "Eukaryotic large subunit ribosomal RNA", at positions 24 to 643 of the family's 3401-position model. The record is from RNAcentral. Lineage: Eukaryota; Fungi; Neocallimastigomycota; Neocallimastigomycetes; Neocallimastigales.
UAUCUCUGUAGAGUCUGCAUAUCAAUAAGCGGAGGAAAAGAAACUAACAAGGAUUCCCUUAGUAACGGCGAGUGAAGCGGGAAGAGCUCAAAUUUGAAAUCUUCAAGGUUCUACCUUGACGAAUUGUAGUUUAAAGAAGUGUUUUCUGUUAGAUGAGUAGCAAAAGUUCCUUGGAAUGGGACAUCAUAGAGGGUGAGAAUCCCGUAUUUGGUUAUUCAUUCUAGCUUUGUGAUACACUUUCAAAGAGUCGGAUUGUUUGGGAAUGCAGUCCAAAAUGGGUGGUAAAUUUCAUCUAAAGCUAAAUAUUGGCGAGAGACCGAUAGCGAACAAGUACCGUGAGGGAAAGAUGAAAAGAACUUUGAAAAGAGAGUUAAACAGUACGUGAAAUUGUCAAAAGGGAAGCGUUUGACACCAGUGUUGGUUUUCCAAAAAUCAAUUACGAAUGGCUUGAUUUUGUGUUGUAUUGACCUUAUCAGCUUUCUUCACUUUUUUCGAGUCUUUCUUAAUGCACUUUUCGGUUAACAAGUCAACAUCAAUUUCUUUUGUUGUAAAAGAGUAUUCGGAAGGUGGCUUUCUUUUCGGAGAAAGUGUUUAUAGCCCUAUACUUCUACAAUCGGAGAGAUUGAGGUCCGCAGCGUAGAUCCUUCGGGGUUAGAUACACCUGUGCUAAGUUGUAGCUUUUCAUAGACAACUUGUUGACUAUGUUUAGUCAUGCGGCUUACUCGCUUGUGCUAUUUUACCUACGCUUAGGAUGUUGACUGAUAUGUAGUCGU